GGGCUGUUAGUUUAAUAGUAAAACAAGGGAUUUGUAACUCCUAGACGACGGAGCGUUACCGUCACGGCCCUCCA
RNAcentral lists this transfer RNA (74 nucleotides) under bacterium. Its description in RNAcentral is "tRNA-Thr". It matches the Rfam family "tRNA". From Rfam's summary of the family: Transfer RNA (tRNA) molecules are approximately 80 nucleotides in length. Their secondary structure includes four short double-helical elements and three loops (D, anti-codon, and T loops). Further hydrogen bonds mediate the characteristic L-shaped molecular structure. tRNAs have two regions of fundamental functional importance: the anti-codon, which is responsible for specific mRNA codon recognition, and the 3' end, to which the tRNAs corresponding amino acid is attached (by aminoacyl-tRNA synthetases). tRNAs cope with the degeneracy of the genetic code in two manners: having more than one tRNA (with a specific anti-codon) for a particular amino acid; and 'wobble' base-pairing, i.e. permitting non-standard base-pairing at the 3rd anti-codon position. The record is from RNAcentral.